Lolium perenne is the source of this 2394-nucleotide long non-coding RNA. RefSeq lists it as uncharacterized. NCBI's taxonomy places the organism in Eukaryota, Viridiplantae, Streptophyta, Magnoliopsida, Poales, Poaceae. The record is from RefSeq and is a predicted model, not a curated record.
GUCUUCUCUGAUCUCUACUCUCCACGAAACUAACCAGCCAGCACCCGCACCGCACCAGCGCCGCCAGCCUGCCAUCUGCGCCGCCCCUCCGCCUGCCGGCUCUCCGUCGGCCAUCCGCCGGCCUGACCUGGAACCCCCGCCUGCUGCUUCUCCGAAUUAGCUAUCCCCGCGUGCGACGACUCCCUUCCACAUCCAGCUCGCCCAUCUCCUUCUCCUCCUACCCCCUGCUCCUCCCGAUUUGAUCCCCUAGACCCGGCGAGGCACAUGUCAUCUAGGAUCACCGACGCCCUCUGCCGGCCGGCCGCCGGUCGCCUACUUUUCUGAUUGAUUUCACGAGGUGUACUGCAAGAUACGGGGAUUGAGGCUUCAGAAUUAUAUCUUUCCUUAGCAGACAAUUUUGAGGCCGUGAACUGUUGAUACAAUUUGAUUUUUUCCACAUUUGUUGCCGUCCUGCUAAACUAGACUACUCUAGAUUCAUUUUGGAGUAGCUUUCCUGUUGCUUUUGCUAGUACAUGGGACGGACAUAUCAAUGGUUUCGUCAGUUUGUUGGAGCAUAUAUACGAUAUGUAGCUUGUUUAGCUGGUAGUUCAGCUAUUUGCUCCCUGGAAAUUGACACAAUGCUCUUUUUCCCCGCUAGAACUUGUGAUAUAGCCUAUUGUUGUCCUUACUGGUACUUUGUGAAAUUUAUUAUACAAUGUUAUAAAUGUAAUCACUGUUCAAUUGUUGUUUAUUAUUCUAAAUUACUAUAUUUUAGGCAAGUAUUUUUUAUUGCAUCGAGCCUUCGAGCCGGCUUGCGAGCUUCAUCGAGCGGGCUUGUCGAGCCUCGAGCCUUGAUCGGACGGUUUAGGCUUGGCUUGUCUACCCUUCGAGCCGAGUCGAGCCCGAGCCGAGCCUUGUCGAGCCCGAGCCAAGCCUCGAGCCUUGAGCUUUGUGUCCACCCCUAAGGGGUGGGGGAAGUUAAGUUGGACCCGAGUCACCAGAGGAGGUGGCACGGGGGACCGGAGUAGUAGGUCGUACAUAUCCGAUAAGCACAAGAUCCUUUUACUUGUGGGAAUGCGUUUUAAUACCUAAUCGACAUCUUGCAGUUUCAUGUUCCAUGUAGUAUACAAGUUAUUCAUUACAGCUUCAUUCAGUUCAUCAUUGCCGAAUCAUUUUUUUUAAUAAUGGGAGCUUUAUUACUUUAACAAGAAAUUACACCCGGCAUGUAGCAUAUCAUUGCUGAAUCAUAUCAUCUAUGUAGCAUGAAGUAUGGCUCAUACAAUCACUACCUAAUGCAUGUUUUUUCUAGCUAACUUUGCGUUAUAAUGAGAAAUGACAUGGCAAUAUAAAACAUUUGAUUUCUGUGUUUGAGCUGAGCUAUUAUUCAUAUCCCCAUUUAAUUAUCUUCCAGAAAUAAUAGAGCUUAUUUUAAACAUAGUAUAUUUCAUGAUGUUUUAAACAUGAUUUAUCCAGGUGAGUUAUUGCUGUUGCAUUUCUGGAUUCAGUAUAGUUUUGUUUCCCUAACCACUAAGAUUCGCCUCGAGUUAACUUCAUGUGGAGCUACAUCAUCUUGGUUGGUUAUUUUCUUGACAUCUUGUUUGGUGCUUAAAGUGUACUUAUGUUGGCAUUCCCCAUAUGAAGAAGAACAUCAUGAUAAAUAUUGGAAGUACUGAACAACAUCAAGGCUGGUAUCCGCAAGAUAGGCAGUCAGACAAAGCUGAGUUGGAACAUACAAUUUUCUCAACUAAUUUUUUCUUCCGGAAAAGCACUUCAUUAACUCCAUCAAGGUGAUUGCAGAGUGCGUUUUGGUGGAACUGGUUGUGCGAUAUGAUCUACGUUGCAAUAUCAUUUUUCUCAUUAUUGAAGAAGUUAAGUGUAUAAAAGUUCUCAAUUUUACUAAGUGAUGAUUCAGAGCUGAGAGCUGAUGGCAAGGAACUCCACCAUUGGAUAGAAUCUCAAUUGAUCAGUUCGCCUUCCUUCGCCUCUAUCCUCCCAUCAUGUGUCCGAAUAUUGAACUCCUCCACCCCAAUGAUUGGAAAAUGAUAUUGUGGGUGGAGAUAGGAUUGAGAGCGCCCAGGUGAUUCUCAUGAGUGAUUUACGUCGACCAACAUCGGCAGUGGACUAUUGGGGCAAAGAUCUUGUAAAUGCGGAGCUUUAAGGACGAUGUUCCUUUGUUUCCUAUUGUGUAAGGUGAUGAUCAUCCGUGGAGAUGUAACUUUUAGGAGGAAAUACAAUAUGUUUGUCUUGUACUCUAUAUAUGGGUUGGCUAUGAGCAAGAAUUGUUGCGUAUUAUGUGGUUGUUGCACAAUCUGGCAAAGAAGUUAUUCUACAAGAAAACACGCUGUUGCACAAUAUGGCAAAGAAGUUACUCUACAAGAAAUACAAUAUGUAUUGUGAAAUAUAAAAGUUGGAAUA